Solenopsis invicta (red fire ant) is the source of this 9598-nucleotide RNA transcript. It is a transcript of the gene named CTTNBP2 N-terminal-like protein, with no coding region annotated. The record is from RefSeq and is a predicted model, not a curated record. NCBI's taxonomy places the organism in Eukaryota, Metazoa, Arthropoda, Insecta, Hymenoptera, Formicidae. The transcript is spliced from 8 exons.
GCUUUUCACGAUCAUCGAGUUUCGCUUGGCCGUGCCGUAGAGCUGGCUGCGCUUUGUGCGCUUGAUUUGUCAAGGGGACGAGCGUAGCGUAGCAUAGUGAGAGGCAGAGCGGCCCGUCGCGCCGGAUGUCGUUACGUUAAUUCGUUCUCAUCGGCGAGAGGAGCGCCGAUUCGACGAUCUGAGUAACAACCGAGGUGCCGGCGACGAGAGAACGACGACGACGACAACGACGUCGACGACGGGAAGAAUAGAAACGCGCGGCCGUCGGUCUCGUGUCGGCGAUGUGGCGAGCGUCCUGGGCUUCUGGGUGUCCGGCGGGGGUGCUCGCGCGUCCCGUGACGGCCGUGGCGAAUCUCCGGAUCGAGGGGUGAGGAAGUUGACGUAGGAACAGCUUGGGGCGCGCUCAGGCGAGAGCUCGCGUUCGUGUGAGCGAGCGAGCAAGCGAGUUUCACGAGGUCGCUCUCUUUGAGCCGCGCCGGAGGUGUUUAGGAGGCCAACGACAACGACAAGCCGUUCGACGAUAGGUAGAAAGCUCUACUUUCUACGCUAGCUCACGACGAUGGCAUCGCAGAAUCAGACCGCCGUCAACGUUACCUCGCCCGGUAUCACAUCGGCAGCGAUGACGACGACGAUGACGACCACGACGACGGCGACGACGACGAUCACGGCGACGACGACGGCGACGACGAUUACGGCGACGACGACAACUGCGGCGAACGGACCGCCGCCAACGUCAGCGCCGUCGCCGGGUUCUACCGUCCUGAGCAGCGCAGCCACUAUCUCGGCUGCGAAGGCACAGACUCUCGUCCUUGGCGCUCAGCCGUCUCAAUCCCAGCAACAGUUACAGCAACAGCAAGCCAACAACAUCGAAUCGCUAGACAAGAGUACCUCCAAUACUCUGAAGCGUAAUCCAAAGAUGGAGCUGAGCAAAACUGAUUUGCUGAAGUUACUGGGAUACCUGGAAGGUGAACUCCAAGCAAGAGACAUAGUGAUAGCGGCAUUAAAAUCAGAAAAAAUGAAACACCUUCUAAGUUCCCGGUAUCUUAGUAGUACUGUAGAUCCACACGCGGCAUUAGCUCGCGACGUCGCGAUAGUAGGUGGUGUUAUUGGUGUCGAAGGAAAUCAAAUUGAUCAACAAGUCGCUAGUCUUGAAGCACUAGUGACACAACAAAGAAAAGCACAAUGUAGGAUGACUAAAGUCCUUAGAGAUGCUGAAAUUAGGCACAGAUCAGUAAUUAAAGAAUUGGAGGAAGAGAAGCGCAAACACGAACAUGAUACCGCUCAAGGAGACGAUAUCACUUAUGGUCUUGAAAAAGAACGAACAAGAUUGAAGAAGGAAUUAGAAUUAGAGAAACAAGAAAAGAAAAGACUUGAGAUGGAGUUAAAAAAGGUUAACGACCAUCUCGAGGAAGAAAAGAAUCGACAGAAGCAGAUAGUACUGCUCCUCUUAGCAGAACGUAAAAAAAUUAUUAUGAAAUACAUUGAGGAGAGGAAACGAUCCGAAGAUUUGGCCCAAAUACUCAGUGAAGAGAAGGUGAGAAUUGACUCGAUGGCCGAGGGCCUCGAGGAGGAGAGUAAAAAGUCGCUACAGAUGGAAGCAGAACUGGAGAAACAAUUAGCCCAAUUUGAUAUGGAGAGGCAGCAGUAUCGGCAGGCUCUUGUGAAGGAAGAAAAGAGAGCGAAGGAUUUCGAGACGGAGGUGGAAAAGUUACGAGUCGAGAUGGAUACGUGGAAGGAGUCGCAGGCUCGCGGUCCCACAAGGGGAGUUGGCGCAAUUCCACCGCCGCCGCCCGCAAAACCAGCGAACCUGGUUGCCAUGCCGACUCUCAGGCCGGCUAGUGCUCCACAAACAAUGAAAGGGGCAGUCUUAGGUACAGGGACACCUAUGGUUAGCAGUAAAGUUGUUCAGCCUACUGCAACAGUAUCCAGUGUUCCUGUCAGUGGACCGACGACCGGAAUUGCUAGGUCUGUAAUACCAGGACAGGCACUUCGUGGAGUCGCAUAUACGCCUAAUUUAACAUCUGUGGGUGGAGAGUCUCCAGCUGCUUCAGAUACGCAGGCCGUAGACAAGCGACAGCCGGUUGUACCUGCAUCCGUUAGUAGCGCGGCCGCUGCCGCGGCUAAGCUUAUCACAUCGUCGCAAGCCGCCGUCGCCGCUGCGGGGAAGCUCGGCUUUCAUGUCGGCCAGUCUUCAAGUUCUGCCAGCCCCACUGUUCAAGCGUCCGCUGCUGCUGCUGCCGCCGGUGCUGGUGCUGGUGCUGGUGGCGGCGGCGGCGGCGGCGGCGGCGGUGGUAUCCUGCCCGUGAAAAAGCCGCCGAUCUCGCGCGGCGUGCCGCCUCCGGUACCACCGAAUAAGCCAGUGGUACCGCCGAAAAAGGAGGCGGCCGUUUAUCUCCGGAGACCGGAACUGCAAUCGCAAAGCGCGCCGCAGCAGGAUACCAUUAAAUACGGUGGUAAACAAGCGGCCCCGUCGCACGGUGCGACGAGCACAGUGGCGAGCGGAGCUGCAUCCAUACAAGCGCAGCAGCAACCGGCGAGCACCGCCCAAGCUGCCGCCGACGAAGAGGUCAGUAGCAAGACGGUGAAGUCGAGAUAGAUUAGUGGAAUGAUCGUUAUAUUCUUGUAAUGUGAUACAAGAUGCAUCUACUAAAGAUGUACUCAUCAAUAAACUCAUAAUAGAUAAAUACAAAGCCGCGUUGAUUUAGCGCUGAAAGAGAAAGAAAAUAAAAGCGAUACAUACACUACGAUAUCGUAGUAGAAAAGAAACAGAGAUGCUACGUCACAAAGCUUGGGAUCUAUGCCGGGAUCUGCAACGGAUUGCAAGAGAUUCCGUACUUGCAGGAGACCAUUUCUAAGGUUGCCAGAAGGAGAGAAACGAAAAAGAGAGAGGCGCUUUGUACAUUCGAUAGACUUUCGGAUAGACCGUUCUUUAAGGACGGCCGCGUUGUACAUUACGACUAGAUCUCAUUGUCGGCGACACCGAUGAAAGGAUUCAGGAUUCUAUUCGCAACGGAAUGGUAUUCAUACGGUUGUAGCAACCGAAGCAGCCGCGCGAAAAACUAGAGAUAUCUUUCAGAUAUGUAAGAUAACCGCCGUAGGUUCCUAGCUCAUUCUGUACGGACAUUGAUUAUCAUUUAUGAACAUAAGUCGUUUUAGGAGGGUACGGAAAGCGUUUAAUACGACGCGGGAACUGUUAAUAUCUUGCAAAAACUCGAGGGCUCGACGUCAUGUAAUAUCAACUCUAAUUAAUUAGAUUUUCAUUUCCUACUCGAGGAACGAUAACGCAAAACAAGUUGAAUCCAUCUCUUGCAAAUCUCAUUGGCUUUGUAAAAAAAGUUUUUUUGGUAUACAUAUUUUUAUAUAUUUAUAAAUUUUUAUAUAUAUAUAUAUAUAUAUAUAUUUCGCAAUCUCUAGAUAUUUUUUCCUCUAUCUUUCUCGCUAUUAUUAUACGUACACUGUAUAAAGUAAAGAAUCUAUAUCUUUGUAAAGCGGACUUGGACGUAUGGCGUUUUGCAGAUACACCACGAAUUUAUCUGAUUGGAUUCAAUCUGUUUCGCAUGAUCGUUCUGUGUAUGUAUGUAUGUAUGUAUGUAUGUAUGUAUGUAUGUAUGUAUGUGUAUAUAUAUAUAUAUAUAUAUAUAUAUAUAUAUAUAUAUAUAUAUACAUAUAUAUAUAUACAUACAUAUAUAUAUAUAUAUAUAUAUAUAUGUAUAUAUAUAUGUAUAUCACGGGUAGAACUGUAAUCUCUAAAAAAGGAUAGUGCUAAAACAUUAAAUGAAUUCAGUUGACUAACUGAAGUUAGUUAACUUAUAGAAACUCUAUCACGUGCUAUAAUCACUGCCUUGACUCACAUAAUCGUAUUUACAAGCUACAAGCUUAGAGCUAUCUGAAUGAAACUGUUCUACACAUUGCCAAAGAAUAGGCGUCACUGUUUUUCCAAGGCACAAUUAAUCUUUGUCAUCGGGACUUAAAAAAAUGUCUGAGGAAACGAAAGCAGAUAAAGGAGAUCAGUGUUUUCUACUCAAUCCUUUAAAAACCCUUGAUAUAUAAAAAAAAGAUGGUUAUACAUUUGUACAUUCUAACGUCUUCUUUUUUCACAUAAGGAUUCAUUCGUAUCUCAGGUAAAAAACGCUGUGUUGCGCUAAAAUGUACGAUGAAUAGAUGGAUCAUAGAGAUAUUAGUUUUUUCUUUAUACCUUUUUACUGUCAUUAAUUUAGCAACGAUGAAAAUGGAGAUCUAUUACUUAAACGCGAACGCUAGAAAUUUGCAAUUAUCAAUUGGACAAGCAGGGCACGAUUUAAUAAAUCACGCAAUUCUCGCAACAUUUUAAAUAGUUUUCGUCUUUCGAAUUACGUUAUUAAUGUAAAAUCAACAUCCUUCUGCGUAGAAGAAUUGUAUAUAACUCUAUGAUUUUAGAGUUCUUAGGUGACGUAUCCCUGAUUACGAGAUACAGUGUGAUCUCUAAAAUUACGAAUAAUACUCCUGGCAAAGUCUAUUGUAAAGUCUUCCAGUGUUUUACGUUACGUACGUUUGUAGAAUUUAAGUUCAAGGUUUAGUCAUGUCCGAUAACUGUUAAGUUAAUUAAUUGAAUGUAUUCUCGCUAUAUACAUAUAAGAACUGAAUUAUCCUUUUGAUCGUCAUUGCGAACACAAGCGGACAAGUAGCAGGAACUGGGACCAGGAUCAAGGGGAUUAACAUGCAGCUUGCAACACCGAGAAGAACAUAUGCUCGCAAUAAUAGCAACAGCAAGAACAAAAAACUAACCGCAACAAUAAAUAGUGAACUUUAAAUAAACAAUAACAAUAAUAAGAGUAACAAUAUAUCGCUAACGAUUAUGUUGAUUAUUGAUGAUAGUGGUAUCUGAUAUAAUAUUAAUAGAGAGAGAAAGAGUUUUGUUACUUUAACAAAACGCUAACAAAUGUGUAAUUUUAGUAGCAUUUAGCAGCAGCAGCAGCAGCGUCAGUAACAAUAGUAGUAUAUUAAUAGUAGAUAUAUAAUAGCUGUAAUGACUACAAUAAUAAUAACAGAUGUGCUUCUCAAAAUAAGGGAGAGAAAUCGUCGGCGAAAGAAACCAUUAAUAAAAAGACGGAGAUCUCAUUGCACGUUGUGCAUACUCACUAUCUCUAAGUCAAAAUAAUCCAACAGAGAGAUUCGUCCGAGUUAGGCUGGGUGUACAUUUAAGAGUUUUACUUUUCGAUAAAGUGUUCUCGAUAGAUGAAACACUCUUUAGAGUUAGGACCAUGAAUGGCUUUUAAUGGCUAGGAUCUGCUUUAAAACUUAUCCUCCAAGAUGGCAAUUCUUGAUAUAUAUCUGUAUGCUAUAAAUAUGAAAAUUUAUACAUAUAUAUAUAUAGAAAAUGGUGUAAAGAAAUGUUCAGUAAAACUCUCAAUGAACAUCUGCUUUCGAAGGCCGCUGUGUUCUCGCGUAUCAUCCAUCGCACAAAGUUUUUGUUUUCCGUGUCCGUGUGAGUGAUGGCUAGUUUAAUUAGUAAUUAACACGAGAAGGGUCCGACCAUAUUGAUCUCGAGCAAAUUAUCGAAAAUUAUCUCGCGCGUUAUUAAGCAAAGUUUUACAUCUUUCUGAUUAUUUUACAAUUUUGAAUAAUAAAAACUUCUGUAUAAUAUUUAAAAAAAAGCGGGUCCUUUUGGUGUUAAUUUUACACGAACGCGCUUAUAUAUAUAUACAUACACGCUCAUAUAAAUACACAAAUGUAGUUCUGUAAAAGACGAAUAAUACUUUGUAUACUUGAUAGAUAGAUAAUCGGUGUACAUAGAUCGUCGAUAUGUACGUGAAAUCUUAAGUUAGCCGUAAAAAAUAGAGAUGUUGACGGAAGACAAUGGUCAUACGAAAUCGUAUUCAUGUCUUGUUAAUUUUAUCGAAUACAUGAUGUAUAUACGUGCAUAAUGCGCCAGUCGCAUGUGAGCGGAAGUUAAAGUUUUAAGGGAGACAGUCAUUUUGUUGACAUUAAAAAAUAUGAGAAUGAACGUGUGUAUUAAAUAUUCAAACGAGCAUCGGAUGAUGCUCGCAUUUCGAGGCUGUCAGGAUACUAUAUUCUAUAAAAUCGACUCAUUUGAUGCUAGCGAGCCGUUAGUCUACGAUUUUUAUCGGCGUUACUCAUUGCACUUGUUUCCGCAUAACUGUAUGCGUUAAUGGCGUAUUUAAUAACUGUAUUACACUCAUAAAGGAAAUGUUUAAUUUUAAGAUGUUAAAAUAUUUUAUUUUUGUUUCCGUUUUUUCGGCAGUUAUGAAAAUGGUUUUAAAAACGAUGUUUAGAUUUAAAACACUAAAACUUCCAACGCUGUCAAAAAUGUUUCAGUUUUAAAUGUUUUGUGUUUUUAAAUUAAAUCGUGUAUAUAUAUAUAACUAAAAUAUUUUUAAGUAUUUAAAACGAAGACAAAAAUAAAGCAUUUAAUAUCUUAAAAUCUUAAAUCUUUUUAUGAGUGUGACGGUGAACCCUUCUAACAAUUUCACGCAAUUUAUUUCACGUUACAAAUCUUACUAAUAUAUGUUAAAGAUGGUUUUCUCCGUCUGUCAAAAUUUGCUAGAACCGGAAUUUCUAAAUAUUACCCAACGAAACCAUGUAAACGCGAUUUACAUGUUAAAAAAAUAUAUAUUAUAAAUACCGAAUUAAAAUCUGAAAUUUGCGUUUUCUCAUGUUACUGUAGAUCUCGAAUUCUCGUGAUGUUGUACGAGUAGAAAUAUCAUCAUCUGGCGACUGUCUUCGUAUGUAGAAAAGACUUUACCGUUUAAGUGAUAGCGAGAUAUUAGAAGAGAGAGAUAAACUUUUAUACAUGCGAGAUAUUCUCGCAAACGCCAUUAUAUGCAUAUUACGUGUGUAUUCAAUCAAAGCGACCCCUUUUCCUCGCAUUUCUCUAGUAGCAUAAUGGUCAUUAACAAACACAUGGAAUGCGUGUGUUUAUUAGCGAUUGUGUUACUAGAGUAGUAAAGUAAAAGACAUUAACCGCGAUCAGCGGCUAUGAGCGGUAUAAAAUUGACACUCGAAUCGUGAUUAACUGUCAUUUGAGCUAGUAACUAGUAAUUCAGCGAAGUUACAGAGGUACUGCGAGUAAAAGUUAUUUGUCUUGAUUCUUGCAGAUAAUAAAUUUAGUUUAUAAAAAUAAUUAAUAAUUUUUUGAUAAAUAAUAAUCGAUUAUUUUUUUUAUUAAAAUAUCUCUAGGAUUCUAUUUGUUUUAUUAAUAAACAAGACUGUGAUGUGUAUAAUACAAUUUCUUGAAUUUUUAAUAAUUAAAAGAAUUUGAUUAUUAGUAGACCUGCGGUAAUUAAGCAUUUUUGGCAGUAAGUUGGGAUCGUAUCAAGUAAAAUAAGAAAACUGAUAACUACUGGCUCGUAUGACAUGUACUAUUGUUGCUUGAGUGUGAUUACUACCGAUCAAUAUCACGUUGGAGAACGUACUUUUUAUGAAAAACGCCUUAUCGUUGCUUGUUGUCUUUUACCUUAGUACGACAAAGCGCGAGAAACCUCACCCAUGUCAAAGUAUCGGAUCAAAAUAAUUGUACUCACGAGUGCGAGAGCACGUUAUUUUAUAAAUGUUAUAUUAUUAACUAUGUUCUCUCUUUCUCUCUCUCUCUCUCUCUUUCUCUCUCCAGAUUUCUCUCGCAAUAGAUAGACCGUCGUUUUCGAGCGGGGCUGAUUGAGAGAAAAUACAUUAUAUUAUUAAUUGAGUAAUUAUUAGAGCGUGUCUCGUGUGGCUCGAUAGGCUGCGUCAAGACUUUUCUCGAGAUUGUAAAUAGUAUAAUUAUUUAAUAUCGCUUACACACACACACAUAUAUAUAUAUACAUACGAAUUUAGAUUUAAAUAAAACUGUGAUUUUUUUACGUUAUUAGGUGUCCGGUUGCUGAUUUAUUUACCGUCUUUUCUGAUUGUGAGUUUACCGAGCAGCCUAUGACCGAUGUAUUUAAGGCUUCUUAAAUAUUUAUCUGUGUUACUCACAAGCUGUUGGUCAAUAUCUUUAACGCUGUUCUUCAAAAAUCAAAUUUAUAAUUAAUACGAUCAUGCUCAAAUUAUUUUAUGGAUGUUCUUUUGAUAGAAAAAAGGUAAAAUAACAAAAUAACAAAUAAAAUAAAUGAAAGAACUGACAAUAUUUGCAAGAAUCUUGGUAUAAAAUUUGAUAUUAACUAUAUUAACGUACUAAUGUGAUACUAUAUAAUUAUUGCUGGACAGUAACGCUGUUAGAUUUUUAAUGACACUUUAACGUAUGAAAGAUUUAAAAAAAAAAAAUUGAGUUAUUGACCGACAGUGUAUACUUUUAAUGUUCUUAUGUACUUUUUUUUUUAUUUGCACUCCAGUCGAUUCUUAGUGCUAGCUUUAAAUCUCAUCACACAUAGUGUAAAUAUAUAUAUCAAAUAACUCUCUCUUCUGCGCUUUUCUAAAGAGUAGUAAUAUUGAAAUUCUGUUCGAGAUCUUCCAAUAGCAGUCGUAAAUCUCGCAAGGGAUUGCGUCAAGGAAAAAUUUAACAAACCGGAUUCCCUUCGACGAUUGUACUUAUAUGCAAUUCGUGUACAAUUUGUAAAUUGCAUCCUCCGUCGCGAGAUAUUUCGCGUGAGAGGGAUACUUGGAAAGAUUUUGCAAAAAAUUUAUCGUAUUCUUAAUUGAUAUACUCUGCCGCGAUCACUGAGCGUUAGAACAUAGACGAGAACUGUAUUUAUUUUAAGCUAUAUCCUGUAUACUGAGAUAUAUCAGCAUGGUACCUGUCGAUAUUGAUUGAGUUUACAUUGAUCACGAGUAGCGGGCGAUUUCAUUAAUGUACAGAAUUCUAGUGAGUUUUGCAAACGCGUCUGUCGCGGACGAAAGAGCGUUUUGGGCUGUAAAACUAGCGUUUUAAUAGUUUAAGAGAUUAUAUAUAAAAAGAGAAAUGGAAAAAAAUGCGCUAGCGCAAUUUUUUUCGAAGGCGCAGUCAAGGAAUCAUGUCAUAAUCACUAUUACCGUUCUGUUUUCUUUGUAGAUAACGCGAAUUACGUAUGCAAUCUCGUUGCGACGUGCGAACUCGUUCGAAUCCGUAAAAUUCAUAAUCGACCGUAAAAUUAUGGUACAACGAAAUGCUUUCGUCAACUUUUGUCUUACGAUUUGAACGACAUGGAAUUAAAAAUAGAAUUGAAUUUAUAAUUAAUUAUGUAAUUUCAAUUUAUCAUUACAAAUGUUUUAGACGAUAAACGUAUUCUAUCUAUUCAAUAAAUAAACAUUUUAAUGUCUAUUAGAUGAUGCCAAUUACGAAAAACUUUUUACGAAAAAUUAGAAACACUUGUGGACAAUUUCACACGUAAAUCAAGUGUAUCAAGCAAUUUAAUAAUAAUAAAAUACUUUUGACAAAGUGUUCUCGUUCGUCAAAUUAUAAAAAGGAAAGACUGGAUUCGAACAGCGCAACUAGAUAUUUAAGAGACAUAUUUCUAUUAAAAUCUAAGUACUUUGUUUCUACCAUAAUUGUUCGACAUUGUCAUUAACAUUAUCUGUCUUUUGUAGACUGUCAUGAUCAUCGUCAUUAUCAUCCUCUAUGUCCAGAAUGACAACAAAUGUAAUGUAAUACAAUAGUAAUUGUUAUCUUCUGUGCUAUACAAAAGGAAAAAUAUACAUUGACAUAUGA